This 253-nucleotide ribosomal RNA is filed under the name uncultured bacterium. RNAcentral describes it as "partial 16S ribosomal RNA". It matches the Rfam family "Bacterial small subunit ribosomal RNA", at positions 524 to 776 of the family's 1533-position model. The record is from RNAcentral.
UACGGAGGGUGCAAGCAUUGAUCGGAAUUACUGGGCGUAAAGGGCGCGUAGGCGGUAUUGUAAGUCGGAUGUGAAAUUCCGGGGCUCAACCCCGGAGCUGCAUUUGAAACUGCAAAACUAGAGUACAGUUAGGGUAAACGGAAUUCCACGUGUAGCGGUGAAAUGCGUAGAUAUGUGGAAGAACACCGGUGGUGAAGACGGUUUACUGGGCUGAAACUGACGCUGAGGCGCGAGAGCGUGGGGAGCAAACAGG